This 25587-nucleotide long non-coding RNA is filed under the name Mytilus galloprovincialis (Mediterranean mussel). The record is from RNAcentral. Lineage: Eukaryota; Metazoa; Mollusca; Bivalvia; Mytilida; Mytilidae.
AGAUUGUCUAAAGAGGGGUCAAGCUGAUAGUACAACUUUAAAAUGCAGGUAAUAAUAUUUGAUUUGAAGUUAUGCAGUAUUUAAGGAUCUUUGUCAAUUUUACAUAUAUAAUUUUAUUACAAAGAACUUUGCUUAAGAAAUGUAACUAGGUAAUGAAUUUAAUCACAAUGAAAAGCAAAACACAAACUUGAAGUUAAAUUAUAAGUCCUUGAAAGUUCAUUGCCAUGGAAAAACAGACUACAUGUUUAAGGUCAUACGGUAAUCAUUUAACUUCAAAUCAGGUUAAUAAUGCAGGCUAAAAUUGCUUUAAAAAAACAGCAGAGGUUACCUGCUUAAGGCACUUGUAGUUCUCUAACCCCCCUUUUUUUUAUGAAUCCCUGUAUAUAAUAUUUUUUGUGGGCCAUAAUUUUCAUCACACAAGUAAAUGAAUUCUUUUCUGUUUUAACAUUAGUGACAAGAUCCUAUUUUUAACCUUUCAGAUAAAAAUAUCCUCAACUUUUCUUUCCAUUAAUAAUAUAAAUAGAUAUAAGAGUAUUAGUUAAUCUUAAAGAGUUGUCAAUAGCAUGGUAUUAAACUGACAAAUUUUAUAGAAAUAUAGGUGGAUUUGAUAUGAAAUAAAAGGUUAUCAUGAACUAGUCACAUGUUAACUGUGUUAGUCCGGAAGUCUGCAGCACUGAGAUACUUUUGUGAUCAAUGACUUUCUAGUACCUUGUGUACAUGUAAUCUAUUCGUACUUGAAUUGUUUAUUGGGAAAAUGGUAUUAAGUUGUAGAAGUCGGAUUUCAUGUUAAAUGAUAUUGACAUUUUAUUUUGUUUUGAUAUUAAAGCUAUAUUUAUUUUGGGUACAUAGAAAUACAAGGCAGAUAUAGGCAAAAGUCUAUUAUUAGGUAGAAUAAUUGUUUUCUGUUAUAAGAAGAGGGAAGUAAAGGCUCUUCCUGGAUUGUAAGUCCACCAUCAACAUUAGACUUAGUAUACCUUAGUUUUAUUGAAUUAUAUCAAGUUGAUGUUUACUACAAUUUUUGUUAAUGCAUUAUAUAGAAAUUAAAUAUUCCAGUAAAAAAAAGGAUUGAACAGGGACCAAGAAUAAUUUUCUUCAUGAAGCUUUUUGGAAGAACUGUUCGCGGGUUUGCAGAUUGCAAAUUCGGGAAAUAAUGGCAAUCUAAGUGAAUUCAGAUGUUAUGUUUCUGCUUUUAUAUAAAGGAACUGUCUUGUUCCCCCUCUUAACCCUCCCUUUUCAAACACCAUCCUCCCAAAAAAGAAAAAUUAUGCCAGUUAUAAUGGUUAGGAGAAAUUUAAACCAGAAAUGCUUUGUCCUCGGUUUUGUCACGUUUCCUUUCCAGAAAUCGUAUUUUGUUCAUAGAUAUCAUGCUUAUAUAUUGCAGUUCAAAUUUGAUCUUCCUCAAGAGGUGAAAACAUCUUUUAUUUUCAGUUUUUGCAUAAUACAAGCUCGUCAAUUAAACCGAUCAUAAUUAGAUCUUCAUAUGUAACACUGCACCAGUUUUAUCCCUAUUUUAGUGUCUGACCUCUUGGUGCAUUGCCGAACAAUUAAGAGAAACUUUAUAUACCCUAUAAAUUGCAUGUCACUAAUGUAAUGUGUUUCGGUUCUAUAACCCCUGAACAUUAUGUCAAAUUUUACGUGACAUUAUCAAGUCUAUCAGGAAAUUAGUAGAGAAGUGGAGGUCUCAUAUAGGUCGUUCUUUAGGAUGGCAAAUUAUUUUUGUAGAGAGAAAACUUACCUUUAAAGCAAAUUAGACUAUAAAUAAUGAUAAAAUAACUGAAGGCCUUUGUCCCUAGUAUAAUAACAGUAGAUGGUUGUUGUCAAGCGAAUUUUACUUAAUAACGCAUCAAUUAAGAUAAAAGAUUAUUGGUCUGAAAUAGUAACUUUUCAUGUUGUGAUACUUAGGAAGUGAAGUAGAAAGGUUAUCUGCUAAUGAAAUACACAUGAAGUUUGUUAAGUGUCAGCUGUGUAAAGGUUAAGGGUAGGCUGGUGAAGUCAGGGUCCACCCUUAUAUCAAAAUUCAUGAUUUUUACUUUCCACGGCUCCCAGCCGUCUGAGUCUGCACUGUUCAAUAUUACAGCAUGCACAUUAACAUCAUUUUUAAGGGUUACUCAAGGUAGGAAUUAUUGAUAAAUAACAAUGUGAUACAUAUUGACAUUAAAAAAGAUCAGACUUCUCUAAAUGAAUGAGUCAGUUGCCAUCUUUUCACAAUAGCAGGGCAUAAAUUGCUGCAAAGCAAAAUUGAAUUGUCUGAUUUGUAUUGAGGCCAUGGAUCUUGUGUGCAUAUAUAUUUUCAAAGUUGGAGAGAAAAUUUUGUCCGUAUAUGUCAUGGGCUCUAUUAUAUGACUUGAUAUUACUUGGAUGGAAAAUAUUUAAGGAGGAGGGUUCAGAUCAUUAGUUUAAGAACAGGUCAAACUAGAAGACCUUUUGUCUCUAUUAACACUGGUCUGUCCCCUGAUUUACAUGGAAGACUGCAUGAGGAUUUUAGUGAAAUCAGUAAAGUUGCAAUAGUUAUAAAAACAUUAAUUGAAAAUUGGCUUUCCCAUGACUAAAAAAAAUAUGCGGUUCAAACCUAUAUUCAUAAUGAUAGUAUGUAAUGGUUGACUCUUUUUUACUGUCUUCAAUACAAAUUUAAAAAAUAAAAAAAUAACUUUUUGCUUUAUUUUGUACGAUUAUUCGAGGUCAUGUCCUUGACUUGCUACUUCACAUUUACGGACCAUUUCCUGGAAUACAUUUUCUUUGAUAUUAAAUGUUUACCUGGUUAAUGCAGGUUUUGAUAUGCUUUAACAUGAUUAAAGUUUUUUUCUGAUUUAAAAACUGAUAUGAAAUGUCUAUUGUUUUAUCUUCUGGUUUAUCAAUUGUUUACAGACAUUUUAAUAUGAUUGUACUUAGUAGAUGGUCAGAUAUUCUUAUACAUAGACGGUUGAUAUCUGAUAGUGGUAGUAAAAAUGAUAAGUUGUUAUAAUUCUACCUUACAUCUUGUAGUUGGGUUAGCUUCAAAGGGUUUUAUUUGGUAUAGAACUUUUAAAAAAAGGCUUCCUGCCAAACACAAAGUAUGAGUUCUACUAGUUUUGACAUUUUAAUUAAUUGCUGUAACAUUGCAAUUUAAAAUGGUGGUAUUACUGCCAACACCAUCAAUGUCCUGAACUGAGGCCAACGGUCAUCAUGUGUUUCGACCUCUAGCUCUGUACCCUCUCAGGAUCCGUGUACAUUCAAAUUUGACCAAUGAAUAAUUAAAAUUUCAUUUUUGGGGGAAAAUUUAAGUUUCAAAUAGAAAUGAAUAGACAUUUGUCACAUACAUUACAAGUAACUUGAUUUGGGAUAAGUAAAGCAGACUUAUUUUAAUACAAGAUUUUUACUUUGAUAGAUAUUUUCACAUAAUGUCAAAUUUCUUACAACAAACAGACAACUGUCAUGUGUGUAUAGAAGUGGAAAGGAUUAACAAUAAUUUGAUAUGACAAAUUCAUGUACUCUUCAUUUUACAUGUAUGUUUUUCUUUCCUCAACUCCAUGUUAAAUGUUGGUGAAAAGAGAAAAUGUCAGCUGCCAAUUUAAUUUAAUUUUGACAAUUUAGAAUUGAUGUGGUAUUUAAAUGUUGAUAUAAACAGUGAAGUUUAUCAUCUUUAUGAUAACCUUAACAGCACGACUAGGUGUGCAGAUUGUGUACAAGGGCUGUGUUAUGCUUAAUGAUGCAUUCUGCUGGUACAUAAGUGACCCCCAUACCUGUUGACCUACAUGCAGGUGUUCACAUUAAGGCUCUCCAAAGGGAAAAUUUAUAGCUUUUUUUCUUGAGUGUGCCAAUAACCUCAUAACUGAGAUUGAACUUUUCUGUUUUAUGAUAAUUCAACAGUAAAUAAUUGCAUAAUAUUUUAUAAAAUGAUUCAAUGAGUCAGAAAGGAUCAUUCAACCCAUUUGAUGUAGAUAUUCUAUUUUUAAAGGAGUUUUACAAGAAAAGAAUUAAAGUACUUUACCUGUCUUUUAUUGAGAAAUUGAGUAAGAAGGAUGUUGAUCACAACAUGGGAGUUUUAGACUAUGAUACAUGUAUAGAAAUGCUUUUAUUUACAUAAUUGACUUACUACAUCAGCUCCAUGUAAAAUAGCCUUAAUAGGUUCCAAUUAUGACCUACAUUUAUAAGAUGCCCCAGAAAAGAAUUAAAUGCAUACUAUUCCUGAAUUAGUUGUAUAAAAAUGUUUAAUAUAAUGAUUGGACAAGAAAACCAAAUGCAAAAUUUUUCUCAGUUUAUAUAAGCUGAUGAAAUUUUAGAUAAAUUCUCUGUCUGGCUCCACUGUUGCCCACCCUAAAAUGCAGUAGGUAGGGUUUUAUUAGUUAUUAGUUAUCAAAGGUACCAGGAUUAUAAUUUAGUACGCCAGACGCAUGUUUCGUCUACAUAAAACUCAUCAGUGACGCUCAAAUCAAAAUAUUUUAAAGCCAAACAAGUACAAAGUUGAAGAGCAUUGAGGAUCCAAAAUUCCAAAAAGUUGUGCCAAAUAUGGCUAAAGUAAUCUAUGCCUGGGAUAAGAAAAUCCUUAGUUUUUCAAAAAGUUAAAAGUUUUGUAUACAGGAAAUUUAUAAAAAUGACCACAUUAUUGAUACUCAUGUCAACACCGAAGUGUUGACUACUGGGCUGGUGAUACCCUUGGGGACAAAACGUCCACCAGCAUUGAAAAAUUGCAGACAGGUUUUUUUUAAUGAAUAAAAUUGAGAAUAGAAAUGGGGAAUGUGCCAAAGAGACAACAACCCGACCAUAGAAAAAAACAACAGCAGAAGGUCACCAACAGGUCUUCAAUAAAGCGAGAAAUCCCGCACCCGGAGGCGUCCUUCAACUGGCCCCUAAACAAAUAUAUACUAGUUCAGUGAUAUAAUGAACGCCAUACUAAUUUCCAAAUUGUACACAAGAAACUAAAAUUAAAAUAAAACAAGACUAACAAAGGCCAGAGGCUCCUGACUUGGGACAGGCGCAAAAAUGCGGCGGGGUUAAACAUGUUUGUGAGAUCUCAACCCUCCCCCUAUACCUCUAGCCAAUGUAGAAAAUUUGAAAAACAUAUGCUAUAACUUUUUAUAUGUAGUCUGUAACCUAUGUAUCAAUUUAAAUAUGAAAUACUGGUACAUAAAUGUCAUGUCCUAAGUACCUACAUGGUAAAAAAAAAUUAAAAUCUAUUUUAAAAAAAGUAAAAAAUCCUGAUACAAUCCCCUAUUGUAUUGUAAAAAUCAUAAAUAAUUUUGACGGCAAACAUAUCAAGAACAAGGUUAAUAUUUUAUUACCCUUAGAGCAUAUGAUAUCGCUCUAUCUUGGCAGAUACAUUACAAUUAAAGUUAAUUUCAUGCUCAAAUAUAUCUUUGAGUGUUGUAAAUAUUUAAAAGUAAAUAGGAUCAUCAAAGAUUCUAGAGGGGAUAAUAAAAUCAUAUUUUCUGUAUAGAUGGGCUGUAAUCUUCUCUCUUUACAACUUUUGUAUUGUUAUAUUACUAUCACAAGGACAUGCCAUUAAAAAUAUCUAGACACAUUUGAAUAAAGGUGCAAAAGACUUAAGUAUUGAAACAUGGCAUAAAAUCACCAGGGCCAAGUAUUUUCAGUGUUGUUUUCAAGUCUGUAUUUCUUGUGAUUGCAGUCAAUAAAUUCAACAUCAAUUUUUUUUUUCAUUAGAAGUGUAAAUGUAUUUCAUUUAGCAAUAUUCAAUUGAAGGCAGUUCAGUGUAUUGCCUCCCAUUUGUCCUUCACACCAUAUUUUAAUAAUGGCUAAAAUUUAAUUUUACAAUUUAACAUAUGUAUAAAUAGAAGUCAUUUACUGCUUUUAUUUCUGAGUGAUUGGUUCAGAUGAGCAUAUGUAGUUUGGGGCACUUGCUCAUUGAAGUUGUAACAUUUUAUUUGUUGGUAGUGAUCUUUGAUAAAAGUGAGGGGUCUUUACAAUGACCUAUAUCUAAUACAAAGCCAACAUAGUUUUCAAUAAGAUAAGAUAAGAUCUACAAUGAGUACGAAUGUCAAGGAGGAUCACAUUGACCUAAAAUAAAGUCUUAUCACAUAAGAAAAAUUGUCUUACAACAUUAUAAUAUAGAUUCAUCAUUAGUUAACAUAUUUCCUGGUCAUUUCAAGUGCUUAGAUUUUCUUUAAAAUGCCAUUUAUAUUCUUGUAGAUAUGUGGUAUAAAGUGUUGAAACAGCUUCCCACUGGCUUUUUCAAAAUACAGUUAUAAUAAAAUGGUAUAUUACAGCCUAUUUACAGGUCAGUAUCAAGGAAAUGUAACACCAUUUACAGUAUGUGCCAAACUGUUUUACAGUUUGCCUGACCGAAAAAGAAAUUUAAUGUUUUUCUACUAUAUUUUCAAUUGAAAAUUUUAUCUGAAUUAUUUUUUGUCUGAAAUUUUGUUGGUCAGCUCUGAGAGUUUGAGAUACACUACAUUUAUUGGAAAAAGAUACCUACAUUUUGACUCUGUCUUAUUGUUUUCUACAUGUACUUCCUAUGAUAGUAGAGUGGCAUUAUGCUGUCUGUUCCUUAAAAGUUUGGUUUACAGUAAAUCUCAGUUGGUUAAGGAAGUUUGUUGUCUGUUUCUGAUGGCAAUCUGAUUAUUUAUUUUAGGGUUAUAAAGAGGUUUGGUGCACUUUAUGUCAUUUCUGUACAAUAACUAAUAACCCUAAACCCAAUGGGUUUCAAUAUUUUUAAUAAAUUGUUCUUCAAAACAAAAUGUAGGUAUCACCUUAUAUUGACAAUUUUCUCUUCUACUGUUCUGAAAUUGUCCUCAUUUCUUUAUUUCUGUUAUUUCCAAGUGCAUUUUUAAAAUCGGUACCUCUGCUACAGUAAACUUGCAUGUAUUUUUUAUCUCCCCUUUAAAAAUUGUCCUGACUAACUAAGACAUACUGUAUCUAAUAAGUUGUUUCUGUAUAGAUAGGCUACAGUUUCUUUUAGGACUUGACUGGCUGAGAAUUUGUUGACCUUUUUUUUUUAUUAUAUAUAUGGGUAGGAAAUCUAAAAUUUUAAACUUUUCUACACUUUGAUGUCUUACUUAAUUUCCAUAUUUAACUGGAUUGUUUGAUUAUUAGUGGUAUAUGUUAACCCAUCUUUUACAUUUAUAGGAUCAAUGUGUCCUUUAGAAGUACUUUUUAGUCAAACUCAUUUCGUAUACAGUACAUAUAUACUGAUCGCAAUAAUAAAAUCUAUUUACAUGUUGUUUUUCACUGUCUUUUUCUUAUCAAAUUGUUUAUGUGAAUGUUUGUUUGCUUUCAAACUGUCUAAUGUUUGGUCUAUUUUUGCAUGAUACAUUUAGGUUUCAAACAAAUUAAUCCAUCAAAAAUAGAGCCAGAUAUAUUUAUAACACAGGUAAAAACAGUCUCACCUGGCGUCAAUUACAUAACGGAUAACACCUGUAUUGUAUAAAUAUGUAUUUACAUUUGUAAAUCGUGCCCUCCUUGCCAAGGUAGCAUCAUUACUUUCAUGAUUACAAGUUAAUUAUUAUUUAUUCUUUAAGUAAAAGGAGAAACUUGAUAAAUUGUCUAUUUACUUGUAUGCUGUAUUUUUAAGAUCCUUGAGUAAUUAUUUUAAAAGACAAACAUGAAUAUAUUUCUUCGAUAUUGUCAAUUUUUUUAUAGGUUUUUUCGACAUUUUUGGUUUUUAGUUCUAUUUAGAUUUAAUUAAAAUUCCUAAAAAAGAACUUACUUUAGUGAUUAUUGGUAUUCUAAGUUAUUUUAGUCCUAUAUAGGACAAAUUACUAAAUUUGAUUUACGAGAUUUGUAAAUUUGCAUAUAAACCUAAUGGAGUCUUGUAACAUCUUAUCAGUGUAAAUUAUUCAGGUAUUGAUUCAAAUUUUAAUCGCCUAUAAUUCGAGUCUCUCCAAUAGAUGUAAGGGUCUCUAGUCCUUUACACUUAGACUGAGAGCACCUGUCCUGAUUAUUGUAUUUAUUUACACGGGUAGAUAACGACUGUCUCCAGUACCCGACAGAUGUUCCCUGGAUGGAAACACCCUUUUAAAAUUCACUACCCUGAAGUCGUAAUGUGAGAUGUAUAUCUUUAUCUUAUCACCACACCAUUAUAGUAUCGCCUGUUAAGUACUUAUAGCAGUAAGCAAAGCGUGACAAAGUCCAACAUAAAUCCCUGUUUCUUUAGUUUUCAAGUGGCUAGCUUUGUUCCUGCUGUUCCUCUUAUCCUAUAAGUCAGUAUAUAAAAUCAUAGGUGCGAUGCCAUCACACUUUAUAUAUCUAAAAUGGACUUGUUUUGAUUUUAUCAAAAGGCUCUCGUCUGCUUGAUGUUAUUUGCAUUAAGAACAUUUCACAUGUUUUCAGUUUUCCCCUUUGAUAAUGAAGUACCAUCCUGAAGCAUUAAAUUGUUUCCCACAUAAAAAAACAAGCAGGUUUUCAUUCACUUAAAAUAAUUUUCUAAAACACCAAUCCUUCAUAUUGAUGCUGCAUAUGUUUGACUAUUAAUUAAAAUAUCUUCUAAUUUUUGACUACAUAAAUUGGAUUUAUUGGAGAGGAAUUGGUUCAGACAAAGAAUUGCCAUUUUUGAUUUUGAGGAAUUUUACAUAUUUACAGCUCUGACGUUUUGUGAUUUCAAGCACAGCCAAUUGUAUGGUAGUUAAAGCCUUUUAUAUGUAUCUUAUUAUAACUUUUCAAGUCUCUCAUGUGGAAACUUAUAUUUAUAGCAUUCCUAGAGAAGUCCUUAUUAAUUUUGCUUAUUGGUGAUAUCAAUCUUGCAAAGAAUUUUACAAAACUUUUGGCCGGCAUGUUGGUCAUUUUUAAACCAAGGAAGAAAAAUUCAUUUUCAGUUUCAAAACACAAAAUAUCAAACAAUUAUGUUUAAGUGGACAAGCAUGAUGUACAAAAUGUUUUAUCUGUUCAUUAUAUAAUCUGAACAAUAUAGGGAAUUAAAACCAAAUGUCAUUUUUGAAGUAUCCACUUUCAAUAAAAGAUUUUCUUGUCUUUCUAUCAGUUUUUAAUGCAGUCAGCAUGUUUUUGUUUGCUCCUCCUUUCCAUUAAGCAUCUGAAAAGAAUUAUAAUUUACUCUAGAUUUAUUUCCUGUUUUCACCCGAUUACAAAUUUUAAUUUAACAUAACUAAAAAUAUAUAGAUAUAUAAUAAGUGGCACAAUUUCCUUACAACAGUGUAAACUGGCACGUUAAAAGAAUUAACUGAACUGAUUAAAUCAAACUGCGAUUUUUAAUAAGAUGUAGGUCAAGUUUUAUAUAUAUAUACAUCCUCAGGUAAUAUAAUACGAAGGUUAUAUAUAAACAUGAUGUCAUUAUUGUUUGUAUACAGAAAAGUUGUUUUUGUUUUUUCCCAGGGCAGCAUGUGGUUUUAAGGUGUAAAAAAUAAUCAUGAUUCUGUCUCCUAGGUAAUUGUCAUAAAUCUUAAUCAUUGUAAUCACAAAUUACAUUAUCUACAUGUACAGUUUUUAAGUCGUGACAGGUUUUCUGAACUUAUUCUCAUGGAUAUAGGGCAUAGUCAGACAAACAUGAAUGUCAAGUUGGAAACCUCAAGUCUGUAUCAUUAAUUGCUAAUUCAUAGGUUAGGUCAUGUAAUGGGUGGGUUCUUGUUAGUUACUACAUGUAUUUGCUUUUAUUCUUAUCCAAGGCUAAUUGAUAUAUCAAUUAAACUCAGGAUUUAUAUCUGACUAUACAAAUCCUUGAUUAAAUCAAUAACAACACCAAUUAAAUGAAUUUCAAAGUUAAAGGCCAGAAAAUUUGUUAACCCAUUCUGUUUUCAAAUGUUGGAUUAUGUUUAAAAGGAUAUGUCUUGUAUAAUGUCAAUUAGACACCAACAAUGCAAUAAAACAAAACAAAAACAAUUUUACUUUAACCAGAAAGUAUCAGAAAGCCAUUUAGUUCAGACCAGGUAACUUCAUUAUUAAUUAACGCACACAUGAAGCAUCACCGAUCAUUACAAAUAAUACUACAAUUAUAUGCGCUGGUUCUGGCUGGGUACCAGAAAACAUGAGACAUACAUGUAUCUGUGGUCAGAUCUUUGAUUAUGAUAAAUGUGAAUCACCAUUAUUUUUUAUGUGUCAGUGUGAAACCUGAAGAUUGAUAACCAUCUUUGUUGUAACAAUUUUUUGUGGUUGACUUUCUGCAGGGGUAUAAAGAUUUGAUGUUAUUUGUGAAUAGAUUUGACAAGACCUAGUGAAAGUUUGAAGUAACUGCCCCAAAAAAUAAAGAACAAAAUAUUCUUGUCACUGUCUGACAAUGACCUAGCUAGUAAUUUAGAUUUCAAUCUUAAAAAUUUGAUAAAUCACUUAAAUAUUUUUAAAUAAACAUUUAGCAGGGUCAGUCACAUUGAUUGACAAAAAUUGAUGUUGUGGUUUUGGGCUGGGUUUUAUUAAGGUAUCAUUUUUUUUGUAACCAUUGCUUGAUAAUGAGACCAACUAAAUUUGGCAUGCAUUAACAAAAAGGGAAAUAUUGAAACAUUAAAUAAAAUCAACAUUUAACCAACACAUUAAUUAUGAUUUGUUCUCAGUGUUUCUACAUCAGCAAUAAUAUCCUUUAGCAUUGCAAGAAAUUACUUGGUAUUGAGGUAUGUAGAGCAUAUUGCUUGCAUUUUAAAAACUUCUACAAUGAGCCUAAUUUCUUAAUUUUUAUGUGAAUUUAAAAUAAAAUAUCAAAAUUAAUGUGUCCAACCUCAGAUUCAAACCCCUAAAAAAAAUGAGCGCUUUGAAUUUAGCUUCUAAUUCCCAGAACCCUUUUGGUUCUGCUAGGACCUCUAAUAUAUAAGUAAUUUUGAUUUUAAAGAAAUCUUGCAUAUGUAUUGGAAAAACAUUGAUUCUGACUUGUGAACAAUCCUUGAAUCUUAAAAAAGUGUGUUUUUGUAAAGAUUGCUAUAUAUAGUGUUUGCAUGCAGAAAGCAAUGGAUAAAUAGAUAUAAUCUAAUCACAUAUAUCCUAUUAGAUAUCUAUCAGGUGUGGGUAGGAAAUUGUUGGAAAUAAGAGAGGUGUAAAUACCCAGAAAUAGGAAUCUUGACUUACAUCUUAAAGUACAGGUAAUUAGAUAUAUAAAAAAGUAAAUACACAGAAAAAUUAAAUCCACUAAGAACAUCCUGCAAAAUUUUUGUGUAAGCAGGAAAUUGAAAGAAUACAGAAAGGUAUAAAUACUUGACGUGAUAAUGUUAAACAAACAUGCAAGUAGAGUUAGUGUAUAUUAAAACUCAAUACACAAUAAAACACUUGAAAACAUCCUCCCGACAGACUUAUGUCUAAGCAGGAAGUCAUGGGUACUGAUGUUUGUUAGGAUACUGGGAGAUAUGGAGACAUGAACCCCUUAUAAACAUUGUAGAAUGCUUAGCAGGAAGUCAUGAGAAUUCAGGGUACUGAAACUACUGAUGUUUGUUGGAAGCUUCUGUAUAAUACUGGCAGAUAUGGAGACAAGUACCCUUUAUAAACAUCCUGGAAGGCUUAGCAGGAAGUCACCUUCACAUUCUUAGACCCGAGACUGGUACAGAAGGAGAAAAACCAAACAUGUUUUCAGUUAUGGGUAUCAACAAGGAUCUGAUUUCAUUUUAAAACAGAAAGGAAUUUUCUCCCAAAACAUGGCUUUGGAUAUUUGUUAAAAACAAUAAAAUAUUUAUUCAGGGUUUAUAGAAUCAAGAGUUUCAAAACUGAAUACGGUAAACAGAUGAUAGUGUAUUAUGUAACCCUGUCCAAAAUUUGGAAAGAUGUUAUGUCCUGAUAUUAUAUGGAAAUAUUUGAGUUAAUCGUGCAAUUUGAUUGGUUGCCUUGACAGGGUACAUGAGCCCUUGAAAAAAAAAUGAAGAUCAGAAUUGUAUUAUAUAAUGUUGAAAUUAAGACACUCCAGUAUAAUAUAGUUGUUGUUUUCGGGCUUCACAUGAGAUUUGGGCUCACAUUUCCUGUGAAGAUCCCAUUACAAUGUAUUUUGAGAAAUUAAAAACAAAAAACAGGGUCUUUGAUAAUGUUACAUAAAAUGAAACAUUUGUGGAACUUGGGUAAAUAUUUUGAACUUGUGUGAAGUCAAGGUCCUUAACAACCCCUACAGGAGAAGGCAAAGAUUAAGAGCUAUUAAGGAAAACUACAUGGUCCAAAAUAAAGAAAAGUAUUAUUAAAAAUUAUCGUAGAAAUUUAUAUGAAAGUUGACAGGGACUUGUAAUAAGUAGCAGUAUAUAUCCUAUGUAAAUAUAAUUACAGGGGUUAUGACCAGUACAAACUGACCAUUAGUAAUCCUCAGGUCUGAUCCAUUUAAUCCUGACACCUAACACUCCUCAACAUAUGUCUUGAUAAAUAUCUAGGUAACAAUUCUUUAUCCAACAACUUAUUUCAAACAAUAAUCUAAACAAACGGUUAGAAAGAAAAACAUUGAUACAAAUAUUAGAGUCACUUGUUUCCCUGAAAGGUGUGUUAUCGUUAAUAAACUUUGAUAAAGCGUUGAAAAUUUAUGAGGCAGUAUGUACUUUACUUAAUUUGGAAUUUAAUGGUUUUAAUUGUUAUUGAAAGGAUUAUUUAGAAAUUUUUAAAUGUCACGAAGAAUUACCUUUUGAUAGCCUAAAAUAUACAGUUAGGCAGAUGGGGCAGGCCGUAUGUUUGGGUAAAGGUGUUAGAUGGGUACCAGUACUGCCAUCUGUUGUGGCCUCACCUGACGGAUACUUUACUAAUGACAAAUCCUUGUUUAAUGUCAACUUAUAGUCAAGUGAAAUGUUAAUGGUACCAGGUUACAACCAUUGUGACGAAUCAAACUCAAUUUUUUUAUCAAUAUAUUAUUUUUUAAUUUAGCACUCAAAUUGAUUGUUAGCAGUUUAAAUGUUAGUUUUAAGUCAAAAGGAUGGGUUUUUAAAUUGCCAAAAAUGAUUGAUUAAUAGCUUAUAUCAAUGCAUUUUGUUACAGUGCAGGUUGUGUAUUGAUUUUUUAAAUCAGAUUAAAAAACUUCAUCUUGUGUCUCGAAACUGAUUACAACUACAAAUGCCAAGGUUUUGUAUACAUACGUAAAUCUACUGUUGUUCAGAAAUUAGAAAUAGCUGUUAUGUUUUUGAUUAAUUAUUUUGUUAUGUCAAACCAAGGUUUCUUCUAGUUGUUUCUGGUGACAUGUAAACAGAUCAAAAAGUUUUUGACAAAUUACAGAACAGAUAAUUAUGCUAGUAACUUAUAUAAUGCCAUAGUUUUUCAGGUACUUAAUUUUAAAUUGUUAAUUAGAUUUCAGUUGCAUGCAAAUUCACUGCCAGAUGUUUCAGUGAAAAAUAAGGGGCAAUGGAGGUUUUUGUUGCUGUAGUGGGACAUUACGUCCCAAAAUUGUUAAAUCCACCACUAAGGAUUACUCAACAGAUAUGUUGUACAGGCUUGUCACCUGUCUUGUGUGUUUAGUUUUUUAAAAGGGAAAGGAAUUGGGAAUUCACCAACUUUAUUUGCCUAACUAAAACUUUCACAUAUUUUAUUUUUUUUAAUUUGUACAAAAUUAACAUAACAAUGUUAUGUACUGAUAGAUGUGUCUUAAAAAAACAUCAGUUUUAUACAGAAAUUCUCAAGAUUAAUACAACGUCUAUUUAUAUGUACAUAAAAAUAUACUUCACAAUUGUACCGAAUUAGCAAAAAAAUAAAUUUAAGGGAAGUAACUCUUUUAAUUUGUCACAUUCAACCUUUGAACUAAAUAUGAUCUGUGUAUGACCUUGACUGAAAUAAAAGCUAUAAAAGUUACUAUUAAACUGCAAAAUAACAAAUUCAUAAACAUGUCGUAAAUUUCCAAAUGAGAAUUUCUAUUGAAUUAUCCUUGAGAGAAAAUAUAGAUAAUAUCAGUAAUAAUUAGACAGAAAAAGUUUUACGUUUAUGUUUAUUUACCAAAGAUAGGGGGCUGUGAAUAAAGAUUGGUGCAACACAUUUUCUAUUUCCUGUACCGACUUUGAGAAAGUUUUCAUUAAUUUUGCAGCUUUGUGUAUUUCUAUAAAGCCAGAGGGGGGUUACUAUUGAAGUGCUUCAUUUGUGAUAAUACCCACAGUCUGUCAGAAGUGAAAAGAUUAACUGAGUACACAGACACAUCUGUCGCAUUCUCACAAAAUCAAAAGAUUUUGUCAAAUCCUUAUUCCACUUUAAAUCUCCAGUUUUGUUUGUUUAUCUUUUAACAGAGGUAAUUUGUUCUGUAUCUAGGCUGAUUGUGUAUUAGAAAACUGUCAAUUUGGCAAAAAUCAAUAAUAACAGCAUUCUUAGUUUGAAAUGAGAAAUGCAUGUUUGAAAUGUUGUAUUUCCUUGAUUAUUAGUUGUAGAAGUCUGGUAGUUGUAGAGUUGACUUGAGGGUCAGAACUGGUCAGAGAAAAUGACCUGGUUGGUUGUGGUCAGUCAUCCCAGGUCAUUGUUUAGAGGCUACAUGUUUUCUGUAGACCAGAACAUAUUAUACAUGAUAAUUCAUAAUUAAUAGGUCCUCUUUGAUGUUUAUAUUGGUUGUUUUGAUAUAUGGGAUAUUUUUCUUUAAAUCUAUUUGAAUAUGAUUCCGAUAUAAUUACUUAAAUAACAUAAAUAAGCUCGCUCAAUAAAAGCACCAUAAAAUGAAAAUUACAAAGAAUAAAUAAAUGUGUUUUUACUUAUUUUUUUACAUAAAUGUAGGUUAUGUGGAUUUAUAUAUUCCCUUGACCUUGAUGUCCUUGUAAUUGUUACCUUUCAGAUUUUGGAAAUGAUGUUUUGAGGUUUUUGACAUUUUGAUAUCUAUGAAAUUCGUCUAAAGUUUUAAAAAAAUCUGGUCAUAAGAAGGAAAAUAAAAAUUGUGAAAAACAUAUCAUUGUGCCAAAUGAAAGUAUUUGGAUUUCCACCAUAAUUAGAUUUUUUCUGGCAAAAAAAAAUAUUUUUCUCCUGUUCAUUUCUAUAAACAUAUAUAACCUCAUUCAGGUUGAAAUUGAGGUCAAGGAUUCCAUUUCAAUUGUAAUAGGCAUUGCAGGAAAAACUCAUAAUUGCUGAAAGCACAUUGCAUCUAUAGGUGUGAUUUGAAGAGAAACUCAGAUUUAUUAUUCAAACCUGGUACCUAUGCAGAAAGACAUAUAUGAUGCUACAUAUUUUUUUUAAAUCAAAACAUUAUAAAUGACAAUAAACCAAUGAAUUGUUUGUUAAAGCUUGCUAAAAAUUCACCUAAACAUGUUCAAGUCUAAAUGAUUGUGUUGACAUUUUCUAGACACAUGGAAAUGUAAAUAGUCUUAUCCUAAAACUAGAACGAGUAUAAAGGAUCUGUCACAUUCAGUGAGAAAAAAACCAGUUCAUUAGAUUUAUUCUCUAUCAGAUAAAUAAGUGAUGCAAUGCCAGUAAAAAUUCUCUUUCCUUUGAAUUAAUGGCAAGUUUGUCAGUAUCCUGACAGAUAAGAAACAUUUGAUUUGGCUUUUUGAAGAAUGUUUAUGGAUAAAAAACAGGAUUUAAUGGAUUUUACUUUGAUACCUGAUCUAUUAAAAUGUUGUUCUUUGGCCAGAAAGGUUUAAUAUUUUGACUAGAAUUAGUUAGGCCUUUUUGGCUCUUUCUUGUAAUGUUUUGAAACCUUACUUUGUUUUGGACAGUUUAAUGCAUUCUUUACAUAUCUAAAUUAAUUUAUUGAUUUUUUUGUGUGCAAAAAUGACUUGUUUUAUUCUUUGGAAACAUUCAGCUUAAAGCAAAAGUAUAGUGCAUGACAACUUUUAGAUUCUAUCAUCACAUUCAUUUCCGGAAUCAAAACAUCAAAGACGUUCAUAUUAAGGACAAUAUGGACGUGAAAUGAUUAAUUAUUAUAAAAUAAUGGUAAAUUGUUAUUAAAUUUUCUGUUAAGAUGUAUGGAUUUUUUAUUUUGACUAAUAGUAAUGUAUUCUGUUUGAAGUUAAGGAUUUUGGCUAAUCAUCUUAAUGUCAACUGAAUUAAUUAAUGAAUGUAUUUGGUAGAUUGUCACUUUGGAUCCAAUCUAUAUCAUAAAACAACACAGAACAGCAGAUUGAAGUUUGCAGAAAGAGGUUGAAGAGGAUGCCAUGGGGGAGUCAAAAGACUAUCUGUCAAAGAUAAAAAGGCAAAACUUCCAGAAAUAAUAAAUAUCCACACAACUAAUUAAGACCUACAAAUAUCCACGCAGCUACAAAUAUCCACACAGCUUAUUGAAUGUAAAAAGUUCCUGCUCCACUAUCUGCACCCAUCUUGCUACAAGUAAAAAUUUAUUGAGUGAAGAUUUAUUAUCCAGAAAUAGGGUUGUUGCAACAACUAAUAAAAGCUACAUAUUUAGCAUAUAUUUGUCAUUAACAUGUUUUUUUUAAUGAGCAGUGAAAGAUACUGUUGCAGAAUUAUAAUUCGACAUAUGAAAUUGUAUCUUUUGUAUGUAAAUCUGAUAAACAGAAGUAUGAUAUUACAUACCUUUUUGUUUUGAACAUUUAGAAUAAACACUAAAGAAAAAAGUGUUACUGUGCAAUUGCAUUUCGAGUGGGACAUUGGAAAUCAGAAAUGCAAAUGGAGUUACAUGUAUGUAUUAUUUUUUUUGUAAAUUGCAGAAAAAUAUAUUGACUACCAUGAUCAUAUGGACAAGUGUUUAAAUCUGUUCAGUGAUAAAAAAAAAAUCAUUCUAUGAAAUAUUAUAUUGAGGUCUCCCACCUAUGGUAGAAAUGACAACAGGUCAUUUGGUCUGUGAACUUUUCUCUCUUGUUUACCUGAUUUAGCACAUAGUUUCUUGAAUGUUUGUCAUGGGGCAGUACAAUAUUAAAAUGUGGACUAUUUUUAUGACCAGUGACUGAAGACCAUUUAGUGCAAUCUGUAUUCACAUCAACCUAAUUGAGUAUAAUCCCUUUAAAUAGAAAAUUUAGUUUGACUUCUGAAUGAACCCAACACCUUAUAAUUGAAUCCAAUUCUAUUACUUAUAUUCAUUUAGAAGAAGAAAUGAAAUUGUCUGUAGUAAGCAGAAUGGAAAAAAUCUAUUCCUGAAAGCAUGUUAUACGAAAAAUGUUAUUUGCUUACUACUCAUAAGAAAAGUGGAAUAUCUGAGUAUUUUUUCUAUGUCUCAAUCUCGCUAUGAAAUGAAAAACUUGAUUUAAACACUAUUUGGUCAAUUCUGAUUUCUUUUUCAUUUAAUCAGUAGAAUACUUUUCUUUUUAUUGGAUGUUUUAUGCAUUUACAAGGAAUGUUUGUUUGAGUUUUGCUAUUUUAAAAGUAAAAGACAUUUUUCAUCUUUUAAGGAUUACUAAGUAUGCAAUUCAAUGGAAACCUACUGCAUAACCUGCUUUUCUGAUGCACUUUGAUUCUUAAAAGUGAAAUUUUAAAAGAUUUAAUUUAUCAAGUGUUUUAAGAAACAUACUUGUAUAUGAAGGUUCAAAAUGCUUCAAAAGAUGAAAGAUAAAAGAAGUUUAUAUUGAUGAUAAGAUACUCUGCAAAAAUCAUUUCCAAUUUAUGAAAAAUGAAUAAUUGUGCACCUGCAGACACUGUAUAUAAAGUAUUAAAUUCUUGUGGCUUAUAUUAAUGGUAAUAUGAACGUAUUAAAAAUAUUGGAUAAUUUUUCUACCAGAAAUAGAUUGGUUAUUAUAUCCUGAAAAACUACCAGAAAUUGAUAUUUUUGUUUCUUUCAAUUGGUUUAUUUGCUAUGAUAGAUAAAAAUCCAAAAUCCAUCAAUUAUAUGUCUCGUUUGCAGUUUUUACCUUCUGGUAAAAAUUUUAUGAAUAAUCAGAUGGAUUGGAAAAAAUCACGAAUUUAGGUGGUUAGUAUGAAUUAGUAAUACUGGCCUUUCAUUAACUAUUGAUGAAAAUUAUGUGUAUUGAAUUGCUGACGGGCAACUCAAUACACAGAGAUGACUGUCAUUUCUGACGGUCACACUCGGUUAAUGCUAUAACCGAUCGGCAGUGAGUAACAACCAUUUGUCAUAAAAUUGAAGCUCAUCAUGCAAAUUCUGCUUCAUCUAAAAAGGAAACUGAAGUUUUGCAGGUCUUCGCUUCAUCAAACAUUUGUCAUUCAUUAAACCAAGAUUAAAAGUUGUCUUUGAUCUGACAAUCUUAAUUAUCAUCUUUAACAGUGUUAUAGAAGGUGUCCAAUAUCCUUAAAAGUAUUAGAAUAAAUACUUUUAUGAAGAACAAUAUUUAUAGUCCUGUUAGAAGAAUUCAUUAAAUUAAUUUUCCUUUUGAAAAUGUUGCAGUUUUAUAGAUUGUAAUUAAGAUUUUAAACAAAGCAUAUUUUUUUGUAAUUAAGGCUUGUAUGUCAUUUUAAAAGUCUAAAUUGUCCCUUUUUAAUCUUUAAUCUACCAUGCAUUGGUACUAAGGUAAAUGAAGUUUUCUGUGACAUUGGACUUUAAGAGCUACCUGCUCUGGAUGUGAUCCUGUAUUUAAUGAGGCUUCUGAUAAACCAGGCCCGGAACCAUACAUUGUUCAUUCUUUAAUGGACAUUUAUGAAUAGUGCAUUCAUGAGAAAGGAACAAUCAUUCUUAGAAAUUUUUAAAAAGUGGAAAAUUAUGGAAAAUCAAUGGUUUGGAAAACUAUUUAUGUAAAGAUAACCAUAAUGUCCACACUUACUUCAAAACUAAUAUAUAUCAAUAUAUUCAGUACACCUCAUAGCUUUUUGCAAAUAUGUGAACUUAACAAUAUCAUAAUAGACGUUUACUUUUCUACAUUGGCUAGAGGUAUAGGGGAGGGUGGAGAUCUCAUAAACAUGUUUAACCACGCCAAUUUUGCACCUGUCCCACGUCAGGAGCCUCUGGCCUUUGAUAGUCUUGUAUGAUUUUUAAUUUUAGUUUCUUGUGUAUAAUUCAGUUUAGUAUGACGUCCUAUACUGUACCAGUUACAUAUUUUUUAAGGGCCAGUUGAAGACACAUACGGGUGCGGGAAUUCUCGCUACAUUGAAGACCAUUGGUGGCCUUCAUGUUGUCUGCUCUAUGUCGGUCGUGUCGCUUUGACACAUUCACCAUUUCCUUUCUCAAUUUUAUGUUAAUCAGUGGCGGAUCAAGAACUUUGCCUAUGGGGGGAGGGGGGACCACAACUGUCAUGCUUCAGUGAUUUCCUAUUCCCAAAUAGUUCACACAAAAGGGGGGCUGGGUCAUAAUUAAGAAAAUUAAGUUUUUGAUUUUUUGAAUUCAAUCCUAUUCUAUCUGCUUUGCUUGAAAUUUUUCAGUGCAUUGGGGGGACAUUUGUACUGAUUAUUUUCUAGGUGAAAUGGCUUAAAAUGCAAAUGAAACAUUUGAUUGUAAAGUGGUUAAAAUAGCAAUAUAGACCACCUAAUGUCUGAAUACAUUGAGGUCAGAUUAUUUAUACUUUCAGGUACAUGUUAAAUGCUUUGUAAUAUUAUUCAAUCUUUUUACACCCAUGGAUAAUAAAAGUCUGGUGAUUAGCCCAUUAAACUGACUUUCUAUUGCCUAUAGAUUAAGGAUGCACAAAGAUUUAUAAUCUGAUAAAAGUGCUACUGUAACAUAUUCUUGCCAACAAACAAGACUUACUUCCAUAGAAAUUCAAUUAUUUCAAAAAAGCGGUAGCUUCAUAAUUUAAUUUCCAAUGCACAAAAAAUUGAAAUUAUCAUGUUCAUCUAUUCUAUUUAGUAAUGUCAGAUACGGUGAAAUGGAUCAUACUGUAAACCAAUUUUGUUUUCUCGUUAGAAGGUGAAUUGUUUAUUCGACAAUUUGAAUCAGAAUUUUCUAUGUUGAAUUUUGGUUUAUAUGUCCCAAUUUGAGGAGCCUGACAUUAGAUUUGAGAAGAGUAAGUGGAAGUUAUUCCAUCAUGGUGGAAAAAAAGGAUUGCAUCAGUUCUAUGAUUGUAUAUGACCUAUAUUAGCUAGGUGAUAUUUAUAGUCAAUAUUUCACCUGUUACUUUGCUAUAAGCAUCUAUAAAAUAUAGAUAUUAAUCCUGUCUUACAUGCUUACUUUUGUUAUAUGAGAUAAUUAUAUUAAUAUAGUAUAAUCCACCCUCAAUUAUGAUUAUAUUACAGAAAAGACUUAGUUCUUAAAAAUGUAAACAUAGAGUUAAACAGUAUAAAUGCUUUAGAUCCAACCUAUUAGAACUUGUGUAGAUCUAUAUAUAUUAACGCUUGCAAUGUUAAACCUAAAUUGUCUUCCUCAGGUCACAAUGCUAUGGACAGUUCACCAAUCAAAUUUAAUUACUACGUAUUAGAACAAUAAGUAUAACUUUUGUUUUAUAUAUAAAGUCUAGGAUAUAUUUUUUAAUACCAAUUUGGUUAUCCUGCUCCAACCUUUUUCCAUUAAACGUAAGAAGUCAUAUUGACUCACUAGUUUAUUUUUUGUUGCUAUCUCAUUUGACCUUAACCUCACAUCCACAUUUAUGAAACCUUUUUAGCUCACCUGGCCCGAAGGGCCAAGUGAGCUUUUCUCAUCACUUGGCGUCCGGCGUCCGUCGUCGUUAACUUUUACAAAAAUCUUCUCCUCUGAAACUACUGGGCCAAAUCAAACCAAACUUGGCCACAAUCAUCAUUGAGUUAUCUAGUUUAAAAAAUGUGUGGCGUGACCCGGUCAACCAACCAAGAUGGCCGCCACGGCUAAAAAUAGAACAUAGGGGUAAAAUGCAGUUUUUGGCUUAUAACUCAAAAACCAAAGCAUUUAGAGCAAAUCUGACAAAGGGUAAAAAUGUUUAUCAGGUCAAGAUCUAUCUGCCCAGAAAUUUUCAGAUGAAUCGGUCAAUCGGUUGUUGGGUUGCUGCCCCUGAAUUGGUAAUUUUGAAGAAAUUUUGCUGUUUUUGGUUAUUAUCUUGAAUAUUAUUAUAGAUAGAGAUAAACUGUAAACAGCAAUAAUGUUCAGCAAAGUAAGAUCUACAAAUAAGUCAACAUGACCAAAAUGGUCAGUUGACCCGUUUAGGAGUUAUUGCCCUUUAUAGUCAAUUUUUAACCAUUUUUCGUAAAUUAAAGUAAUCUUUUACAAAAAUCUUCUCCUCUGAAACUACUUGGCCAAAUUAAUCCAAACUUGGCCACAAUCAUCUUUGGGGUAUCUAGUUUAAAAAUGUUGUGGCUGACCUGGUCAACCAACCAGAUGGCCGCACCGCUAAAAUAGAACAUAGGGGUAAAAUGCAGUUUUUGGCUUAUAACUCAAAAACCAAAGCAUUUUGAGGAAAUCUGACAGGGGAUAAAAAUGUUUAUCAGGUCAAGAACUAUCUGCCCUUAAAUUUUCAGAUGAAUCGGUCAAUCGGUUGUUGGGUUGCUGCCCCUGAAUUGGUAAUUUUGAAGAAAUUUUGCUGUUUUUGGUUAUUAUCUUGAAUAUUAUUAUAGUUAGAGAUAAAACUGUAAACAGCAAUAAUGUUCAGCAAAGUAAGAUCUACAAAUAAGUCAACAUGACUAAUGGUCAAUUGACCUUAAGGAGUUAUUGCCCUUUAUAGUCAAUUUUUAACAAUUUUCAUUAAUUGGUAAAUUAUGUAAAUUUUUACCAAAUAUAGUUCUCUGUUACUAAUGGGCAAAGUUCAUGAUAGAUAUAAUUGUAAGAAGCAAAAUCGUUCAGUAAAGUAAGAACUUCAAACACAUCACCAUCACAAAAUACAAUUUGUCAUGAAUCCAUUUGUGUCCUUUGUUUAAUAUGCACAUAGACCAAGGUGAGCGACACAGGGUCUUUAGAGCCUCUAGUUUAAUGUAAAAAUAAUACGUUUUUGGUCCUCAUUUUCUCUUCAGUGUGAAAAAUGAAGUUAAUUGAAAAUGUGGAAAUAUUUGAAAAUCUAAGGAUAUUUUUGAUAAGGCCUAAAAUGGCUGUGCUUAUUUUUUUCUUAAGUUGUAUAUGACAAUACCACCUGUGACAGUCUGUUUAUUAUCCCUGGUGUCUUACAUCAUAUGUCUUGUAACAGCAGCUGUUUAACCUGUCAAAUAAUAAAUGUAAUUAUUUAAAUUCUCCUUUGGGCUUCUGUAUAGAAAAGGUCCAUCCAUGCAUACAUUAUCCUGUAACUCUUUUGCAGUUAAAUCAAAAUAUACAUUGUAUAUAAGGUCCUAAUUUUAUACUUAAAUUUGAAAAAUAACACUAUUUUCUGAAUAAAUGUUUUGAAGUAACAGAUUUCCUGGUACAGAUGUUUCAGCCAGUAAAAAAAAAAGGUUCAAUUUGGUUAUUUCAUGACAAAACUAUUUUUUCUUUUAAAUGUUAACUGCAAAGUAGGACCUCAUUAAUUCCUUGACAGAUGAAAGUCAGGAGCUUAUCAUUGCAAAUAAGUAAUGGCAAGCAAGUCGUGACUACAUCAAAAAGUUGAAAACAAACAUUUGUUACACAACAUAUUUUUAUAUUUUACAGAUAGCAGUUAGUAAGAAAUUGAGAGCACCUUAGUUCACCAACACAGACAUACGGUCAAGGUCAUGAUUUUCAGGAACCCAGAUUUACAUCAAGCAUGCAGUGAAAAUCUAUUAUUAGUGGUUUAUUGAGAUAAUAGAAAUCUGCAAGACUAAGGUAAUUUCUAUAUAUCUGGCUGUAUAUAAUAAAUUAGUCAUUUUCUGCCCAGGAAUUCCAACAUAACAUUGUUGUAACUUAUAGUCUCAUAUAUCUUUGGUCUGGCUGAUCUGGCACACGACUAAGGGUUUUAGAUUUCACCAUCUUAACAAACUUGUAAUAUUUCACAAAACUUGGAAAGAUAAUCCAAUUCUUACAACCUUUGUUCUUUCUUGUGUAUUACAUGAUAUAUUGAUAAAAUAAUGAAAAAUUAAGAUACAUAAGCUAGAAAACCAUUCUUCGUAUGAAAUUUUAAUAAUUUUGACAUUGUUUCAUGUACUGUAUCUAAAGAGAUAAGAAAUAUUCCUUUUACUGCCGUUAUUUAGAUAAAUGGGGUGGUUUCAGUACCAGUUAAAAGUGACUUUAUACAAUUAAUGUUAUAAAGAAAACAUAAAUAUCAAUUUAUAAUGAGAUACCUUAGCUUUAAUGAGGAUAUGAACAUUUCUUUUUAACAUUAUUUGUGUAAUUAUUGGCACUUCAAUUGUUAGAGAGAUAAUUUUAUUUGAAUUAUAAAUUUAUCUUUGUGUCAGUUUGAUUCAUAUAACUCUUGUUUGUUUGAGUUUUGCCAAAAGCUUGAGCUGCUAGAUUUUGAUUUUGCAAAAGUAUGUUUCAGAUAUUUUUUGACAUAAAGUGGUACUUCUACUUCUUACACACUAAAGAAGCCAUCAACAUUUCUUCUAGUUGUAGGGAUAUUUCAAUUAUUGAGGGUUUUGCAAAUAUAGCUUACACUCGAGAGCUUACACAACUUGGAAAAAAUUCCAUUGUAAACUGGAAAUCAAAAUUAUAUUGUAUUCUGGUAAAUAGGAAAAAAGGUAAUAAUCAUAUUACAUCUUGGUGAAAACAUGUGUAUUAUUUAAAGAGGUAUAAGUGGACAAUUGUCAGUAGUGAAUCAGUUCAGCAGGUAUUGAUAACUUGUAUUAAAAAAAAGGAGAUGUGGUAUGAAUGCUAACUGAGACAACCCAUAGCCAGAAAUUAGUAGUGCUUUUGCUAAGUAAUAUUCAUAAUAUGUAAAUGAGAAUUGUACCACGUGAUUACAGUUUGAACUAGACUGGCUUGAUAUCCUUAAAAUCUUUAAAACACGGAUAUUAUAAGUUGCCCGUCCUUGUUUAUAAUCAUUCUGAUAUUUCCGUUAAGUUGCCAGGCGGUCAAAAUCAAUACAAUGAACGCAAAUUAAGUGAAUUUUUCGUGUUCUCAUGAGUUUAUUCUUCUUAAAAUAUUGGUAUUUUAACUUUACGUGGGAACCUAGAGUUCAAUGACUACACAUACAAGGUUUGGACUUGCUUAUUCUUUGGACAUCCAAGUUUCACCCCGGCAACUUGUUUUUCUUAUGACCUUGUUAGCCAAUUUUCAACACGAAGUUUGCAAAUUUGACGUUUCAGCCAUUUUAGCCUGUAUUUUAUACUGCAAUGUUAAAAGCCUCUCGCUUCGAUUUUCAAAAUAGCUCAGCGACAGUCAUAAUGUUUCGUUUAAAUGGUGUAUAUUGUUGUGUAUAUUUAUUUUCUGUCCCGGCAACCUGUCUAUCACUUAAAUUAAAGUUAAAAUAGACAUUUUUUCAAAAAUCCCUAUCAUUUCAAUAUAAUUUCCGUGACCCGUAUCUGAUUUUGUUAGUAUAAUAUUCAAUGAGCAAAGUGGCGUUGAUUUCUGGAUAUGCUUCCACAAGUUCAAAUGACAUGAAUGAAUGGUCCUUGUAAAAUAGCUGACUACUGGUAGUUAAAUUUCACAUGACAGCUUCACUAGAGAUUUAUAUACAUUGCAAUUUUGUUUACCAUUUUUCCAGCUUCAACCACAGAAUUAGGCCAUUACCCUGAGCACAUUUUCCUUAAUAAGAUUAAGGGAUUGCCUUGACAUCAUUAUCUUAAUUUUACUUAUGAUUUAUUUUAAUUGUUUCCUUCUUUUCACUAGACUUAUACUUUAUCUCAGUUUACCUCAGAUGUGAAAGGGUGAUUUUGUGGAAAUAUUUUAUUAGCAAUUAUUGUAGUAUAUAAGAACAGAUAUCAGCUAUUACGUCUUUAAUAAUUAGGAAAGUUGGGUGAUUUGUACCACCAUCUGGGAGCUGUUUUUACCACAAUCUGACUGCGAGGUUGUCCAAUAGUCUGUGGAGACUGCAAUGAUUCUCAUUCAGGAGAUAAUUACUAAAUAUCUUCCUUACACAAUCAUCUAACAAUACUCAUUUGUGUUGUAGUCUGCCUGGAAGAACAUUUUUAAAUUCUUAUCUUUCAGUUAAAAGGAUGUUAAAGUAGAGAAUAAAAGUGAUUUUAAGACCAACAAAUCAUUCUAUAUCAUAACUGUCUAUGCCUUCAACAAUGAGCAACCCUAUACAUUUGUGCUUUAUAUUGAAUAUGCUAUAUAAGGAGCCAGCUUGCUAAAUACAAAUCUAUUCUUGCAAGAAAACUAAAGCCUUGUACAUGGGGAAGUCACAUUAAUUUAUGUUGCUUUUAAAGGGCAAGCAUGUCUUGCUGAACUUGUAGCACUCAUCAGGUUACUCAUGUGACAAAUGUUGUAUGAUCUGGUGUGAAAUGCAAGAAUUGCAUGGAAGCUUUCAAUAAAAAUCAACAAAAAAGGUUUAAGUUGGAACCUCUAGGUAAUGCAACAUUGGGUAUAGCUCACUAGUAUUUAAAGGUUAUAUCAUCUACAGUCAGUAUGGCAUGCAUCAAAUAAUUCUUCACCUUCUUACAUUUUAAUCUGAAUCAUAAAUACAAUUUAAUAGACAAAUUAAUUGAGCAAGAUGAUACAUUAACAUUUAUAAAUAGAUAGCUAAUUGAUUGAGUCUGCUAAAUUUUGAGGUCAUGUGUACUUAACAUUGUAACCUUGACAUUAUACCUUUGCCAGAUUUUACAGUAGCCUUUUAUACCAGGUGUGGCAAUAAAAAAAAUCAAUCUGUAAGCAUUUUAGGGAAAGUUUUCUGUUCUUCUUUGAUAACAGAUUUCUUGGUGGUAUACUUGGCAAAGAAAUUACUUGUAGAUUAGAGAAGAAAUCAGUGUAAUUUUGACGGAUCAUUGGCAUCUCUAUCAGUUAGUACAAAAUAUAUUAAUAAUUGUGCUAUAUUCAUAAAAAUGUUAACUAUUGGCAUAUUUCCUGAUAAAUUAUCUAUUUUUUGUCUUCCAGGGUGAAGAGUUUUAGUGUCUUGUCAUUGACCUAAUCAAAUAAUCAUUACUUCUGAUAAGUGGCUGUGUUGCAGUAGCAGAAGAGAAUGAAAUGCCAGCAGACGUCAUACCGAAUCCUGAUCAAUCCUUGACAUUCAAAACUUUGAUGUCAUCAUUUGGUGAUCGACAAAACACAAAAUGAUCAACAAAGUAUAUUUGCGUCAAUGUUAUGUAGAAAUGGGGCAA